Etheostoma spectabile (orangethroat darter) is the source of this 135-nucleotide long non-coding RNA. RefSeq lists it as uncharacterized. The transcript has 3 exons. NCBI's taxonomy places the organism in Eukaryota, Metazoa, Chordata, Actinopteri, Perciformes, Percidae. The record is from RefSeq and is a predicted model, not a curated record.
UAAAUGAAACUUUGAUAAUUAAUUGAAAUAUGAUUACCUCUGCUGAGGUGGUGAUUGGCUGAAACAGAGGGGAAGAACAAGCUGAUGACUGACAUGGAAAAGAAAAUGUCACAGAACUGAACAAUAAUAAUCUCU